Thunnus maccoyii (southern bluefin tuna) is the source of this 1508-nucleotide long non-coding RNA. RefSeq lists it as uncharacterized. The record is from RefSeq and is a predicted model, not a curated record. The transcript is spliced from 2 exons. NCBI's taxonomy places the organism in Eukaryota, Metazoa, Chordata, Actinopteri, Scombriformes, Scombridae.
AAAGACAAAUAUUGCAAGAAAGAAAAUAAGAUUCAUAUCACACGAGGAAAGCACUGUAAAUGGAUUCAGGAUAAUGUUGAUGCAGAGGUUUUGUAAAAAUACAAGGACUAUUUCAAUUUCAACCCCUGCAUGAGACAUGCCAGAUUGGAGGGAAAAAAAUCAAAAUUUGGAAAUACAAUGAACAAAGAUUACAUACAUGGAAUAACAAAUAAUUAGAAAAAACUUUUCAAUUGUGCACCAUUACAUGGAAAUGGAAUAUAGAUCAAAGUGUGUGCUGAUGAAUCUUUGUCCUUCCAGCAAGUAACAUUGCUUAUAUCAUAGCUCUGAAAAGGCUGAAAUCUCAACAAACGGACAAAAAGCUUCUCAGUGAGAUUAUAUUAUUGUUAGGAUGGACACACAUCACCACAAAUCUGCAGCCAUAGGCAGACACUGUGAGUCUCAGUUAUUUAGUACAAUGACAAUAGAAAAAAAGAAAACAAAAAUACUUUGUUAAAACCAUAUAUAUGAUUUUUAUCAAUCCGACCCUAUUUCAAUCAUAACUCAACUGUAUCUCACGACGUAACUUAAAAACUAUAACUACAUACAGCAGCAAGGAAAAACUCCCCUUUAACGGGAAGAAACCUCAAGCAGAACCGGACUCUAGGUGGACGCCAUCUGCCUCCACCGGUUGGGUUGAGACGUUAUUAGAUUUAUAUACUCAAAAGAAAGAAGAGAGAGAGAGAGAGAGAGAGAGAGAGAGAGAGAGAGAGAGAGAGAGAGAGAGAGAGAAUAUGCUGAAGUGGAAGAAAUAAUUUCUACUGCUGGAUAACAGAAGCAGAAGAGUCUUCAUUGGUCGCACUUGCUGUGGCACCAUCCCUCCUCACUGGCAAACAGUAAAGUGCAGACUGAUGCCCUGGUAGCAAAUUGACUGUCUCAGGUUCACUUUCAUCAGCACUUUCAACAUUUCUAUUCUGCAUGUUGGAAGGAGCUUCACCGGCAUUUCCUCCAGCUGAGCCUCCACUUGCUGAUGAGCCGGAUGGGUUUGCUGUUGGCUGAGGACUCCAGUUUGAUGUUCUUCCUGGAAUUAAAGGCAACUAUUUUAGUCUUGACAAUACAAAAAGGGUGACAGGGCAGUGGUAGUGCUGGAUGUUUUGUCUUAUAUUUAGCCAUGUUAGGAGCAUGGCUUUACGAAGCAUAAUGUUUGUCAGUGGGUUGGUGUGUCGGUUCACCACUUUCAUCCUGACUGAAAUAUAUCAAAAACUAUUUUCUACAGACAUCAACGGUGUCCAGAGGAUGAAUCCUUCUGACUUUGGUAAUACUUUAACUUUCCCUCUAGUGCCACCAUAAAGUUGACAUUUGUGCUUUUAACUAAAAUAUCUCAACAAAUGUUGGAAGGACUGCCAUGACAUUUGGUACAGACAUUAAUGUUCUGCUCUGGUUGAAUUGUAAUAACUUCCUGUGACUUUCAGGGCAAAGUAUUCAUUUGUCCAAUAUUUUGGUUUAUGACUAAAUAUCUGCAAAACUAACGA